UGCCUAACACAUGCAAGUCGAACGCUAUCUUUGAUAGAGUGGCGCACGGGUGAGUAACGCGUGGGAACCUGCCUUUUUCUGCGGGACAACGGUUGGAAACGACCGCUAAUACCGCAUACGCCCUACGGGGGAAAGGUCCGCCGGUGAAAGAGGGGCCCGCGUUUGAUUAGCUUGUUGGUAGGGUAAUGGCCUACCAAGGCGACGAUCAAUAGCUGGUCUGAGAGGAUGAUCAGCCACACUGGGACUGAGACACGGCCCAGACUCCUACGGGAGGCAGCAGUGGGGAAUAUUGGACAAUGGGGGCAACCCUGAUCCAGCAAUGCCGCGUGUGUGAUGAAGGCCCUAGGGUUGUAAAGCACUUUCACUGGUGAAGAUGAUGACGGUAACCAGAGAAGAAGCCCCGGCUAACUUCGUGCCAGCAGCCGCGGUAAUACGAAGGGGGCGAGCGUUGUUCGGAAUUACUGGGCGUAAAGGGCGCGUAGGCGGCUCUUUAAGUUAGGCGUGAAAGCCCCGGGCUCAACCUGGGAACUGCGCUUAAGACUGAAGAGCUAGAAAAUGGAAGAGGGUAGUGGAAUUCCCAG
RNAcentral lists this ribosomal RNA (581 nucleotides) under uncultured Alphaproteobacteria bacterium. RNAcentral's name for it is "bacterial SSU rRNA". It matches the Rfam family "Bacterial small subunit ribosomal RNA", at positions 45 to 673 of the family's 1533-position model. Lineage: Bacteria; Pseudomonadati; Pseudomonadota; Alphaproteobacteria. The record is from RNAcentral.